CUUUUUGCACACACACGAAUACAAAGAGCCAUACGACCUUCGGGUAUCCUUUUUCCAUUUUUUUUCCUCCUUAAUCUUGUGUGUGUUUUCAAAUUUUUUAAAAAUAGAGAUCUGUAGCAGUGUUGGGAAUGUCUUACUACCCUAUCAGUUAAUCCUAUACAUUGCUCAAGGCUCAACUGGAAGCUUUUCUUCUUUUCAGGUUUAGCUGUGCCUCCCAGUGACUAUAAUGACAAGGAAGCUGUAAAUGUAUUUGAGUUAAGCUUUUGCGAGAAAUGCCGGAAGGUCCUUCUGAAUCCCUUCCCUGUUCCUUAGGUUGCACUAGUCGGGGGUUCCAUGCUGGGGGGCAGAAGGAAUGCUCUCUACCGUCUGAAACCGUUCAUCAGGAAGGCCUUGAUUUGUGAUGUGCUAGGAGAGCACAGGAUCUGCAAAUAGAAGGCACCUGUCUCCCUUCUGCAGGCCGAGGAGAGGCCGCCAUGGACUGUGUGCUUCUUCAUGGCUUGUUUACUCUUCUUUCACAGACCCUACAGCUUGGGGCCUGGGCUCCUCUGACCAUCCUCAUUGAGAAAGGAAAG
Molecule: long non-coding RNA, 572 nt
Filed under: Homo sapiens (human)
Lineage: Eukaryota; Metazoa; Chordata; Mammalia; Primates; Hominidae
Description: non-protein coding lnc-C14orf93-2:4
Source: RNAcentral